RNAcentral lists this long non-coding RNA (2267 nucleotides) under Vombatus ursinus (common wombat). Its description in RNAcentral is "lncRNA (ENSVURG00010000330.1)". The record is from RNAcentral. Lineage: Eukaryota; Metazoa; Chordata; Mammalia; Diprotodontia; Vombatidae.
GGGAAGUAAGGGAUAGGGGUCAGGAAGGGAAAAGCUCUCCCUCUCUUUUAGUAUUCGUCUGUCUCUGCCUUUUUGUCUCUGUCUCUUUGUCUCUAUAUCUCUCUAUUUUUGUUUGUCUUUGUCUCUUUCUUCUCUUUGUCUCCCUCUCUGUCUUUGUGUCUCUCUGUCUCAGUCUCUCUGUCACUAUCUCUUUCUGCCUGCCUGCCUAUAUGUCCACUUGUCUGUCUGUCUGUCUCUCUCUCUUGAUAUCUGUCUAUCUAUAUUUCUGCCUUUUCGUUUCUGUCUCUUUUGCCAGUUUCUCUAUCUAUUUCUGUCUCUCUCCUCUGUUGCUUAAUAUUUGUCUGUCUCUACCUUUUUGUCUGUCUCUAUCUCUGCUUGCCUCUGUAUCUAUAUUUGUCUCUGUCUUUCUGUUUAUUUCACCCUCUCUCUGUCUCUUUGUCUCCCUGUCUCUCUCUCUCUCUCUCUCUCUCUCUCUCUCUCUCUCUCUGUCAAUGUCUCUCUCUUGAUACCUGUUUUUCUAUAUCUCUUCCUUUUUGCCUCUAUCUCUGUUUUUCUCUCUGAUUGUCUCCAUCUCUUUGUCUUUGUCUCUCUGUCUCUGUUUCUUUGUCUUCCUGUGUUUCUGUUUCUGUCAUACACACAUCCAUAAUCAAAAAGCUGUUUGAAGAGUUCCAUUUAUGGGAUGGCUGGGUGGGGGGGGGACUUUGGAAAUGGAAUAGACACACUGGAACUUUCUGGUAGUUGAUGGCAAACAUUGUGUUGUAUGUAUCUAAGAGGUGGAAGUUCCACAGAGGCAGAAGAUGCCAUUCGUGGUUGUCAGACAAGAAGAACAGGGACUUAAGAGGAAUGUGGGUGCCAGGAGAGGGAUGCUGGUCUAUCAGCCAUGGGGGUGGGGAGGGAACUAAAGACUGGUGCAAAGUGGUCCAUGAAAUGGAAAACAUUCACCUGCGGAAGGAAAGGGCAGCUAGCUCAUGAGAUAAAAGAGGAAGAAAGACAUGAGUGUUGUAAUGGGGAAAUGCUGAAGCAAUCUCCUCUGAGGAAGACUCCCGAGUGCCUGGGCUCUGAUUGGCCAGUGACAUCUAGACAGGAAGCCACAGGGCUUCUGCAUCCUUCCUAUAGUACUUACUCAGGCCUCACUUUUAACCAGAGGCUUCUGAAGGUUCCUCCAGGGCCAGAGGGCAAAAUAAAAUCACCAAGUCUGUCAUUCCAGGAAGAAAGUCAAAGCCUGAUCCCUGCAGCAGCUCACAUUCUGAGGAAGAUCUUAUGCAGGUGAGAAGGUGGUCUCAAAAGGAAGGAACAAGAGGGCUGGAGGGGGUAGGAGAGGCCUCUUGCAGAAGGUUAGAGUUGAACUGAGUCCAGAAGAAAGAUGAGGCGAAGAGGAGGAGUAUUCCAAGAAGGAGUGACAGCUAGUGAAAAGGUAUUGAGUCAGGGUAUGGAAUUUGGGUCAGGAGGAACAGCACACAGGCCAAUGUAACUGGGUCACAGAGUACCUGGAGGGGAUCAAAGUGGAAGGAAAUGGAAAAGGUAGGAAGGGUCCAGGUUGUGCUGGGAUUUAAAUCCCAAUAACAGGACUAGGUGGCACAGUAGAUAGAACCCUGACCCAGUCAUCAGGAAGACUCUUCUUCCUGAGUUCAAAUCUGGUCUCAGACACUUAAUAGCUAUGUGACUCUAGCAAGUCAGUUAACCCUCUUUGCCUCAGUUUCCUUAUCUGUAAAAUGAGUUGGAGAAGGAAAUGGCAAACCACUCCAUUAUCUCUGACAAGACAACCCCAAAAGAGGAUGCAAAGAAUUGGACAUGACUGAAAAUGACUUAACAACAACAAAAAAUUGAUGAGAUUUAUUGAGUAGAUAGUGACAUGAUCACAUAUAUGCAUUAGGAAAAUAACUUUGACAGCUAAGUAUAAGAUAGUUUGGAAUGUAUGGAGACUUAAGGCAGGGUGACACAAGCAAAAGAGAAGAGUAGGAUUAUAGGGCAUAACUUAGAGAAAGAUCCAGCUAAGGAGACUGAGAAAGAACUAUCCUCUAGAUAGGGGGAGAACCAGAGAGAGUGAUGGCCUGAAAAUCUCUUCAGGAGGGGAGGGUUAUCAACAGUGUUCAAGGCUGAAGGGAGGUCAGGAAUGAAGAGGAUUAGGAAUAGGCCUUGAGAUCUCAUAAUUACAAGAUCAUUUGAAGAUAUGGAGAACAAUUUCAGCUAACUGAUGAGGUCAGAAGCCACUUUGCAGAAAGAAUAGAAAUGAGUAAUAAAAAAGGAAGGGGGACACCUGCUGUACA